UGCUGGCUGUAUGCUACAUAUCUCCCAUGGCUUUCAGCUAAGGAGAAAAAAGCAAUUAAAUGGAAAAUGUUGCCCAAUUCAGCAGAUAGGGGUUUCUAAAUUAUGUGACCAGACCAAUGAGUGGAACAAGAAUGAUGACCGGCUACUGCAGGCCGUGGAGAAUGGAGAUGUGGAGAAGGUGGCCUCACUGCUCGGCAAGAAGGGGGCCAGUGCCACCAAACACGACAGUGAGGGCAAGACCGCUUUCCAUCUUGCUGCUGCAAAAGGACACGUGGAAUGCCUCAGGGUCAUGGUUACACAUGGUGUGGAUGUGACAGCCCAAGAUACUACC
Molecule: small RNA, 331 nt
Filed under: Pan troglodytes (chimpanzee)
Lineage: Eukaryota; Metazoa; Chordata; Mammalia; Primates; Hominidae
Description: processed transcript
Source: RNAcentral